GGGAGGCAGCAGUGAGGAAUAUUGGACAAUGGGCGCAAGCCUGAUCCAGCCAUCCCGCGUGCAGGAUGACGGCCCUCUGGGUUGUAAACUGCUUUUAUUAGGGAAGAAACCUAGUUUUUAUGAACUAGCUGACGGUACCUAACGAAUAAGCACCGGCUAACUCCGUGCCAGCAGCCGCGGUAAU
Molecule: ribosomal RNA, 184 nt
Filed under: uncultured Cytophaga ATT1
Lineage: Bacteria; Pseudomonadati; Bacteroidota; Cytophagia; Cytophagales; Cytophagaceae
Description: partial 16S ribosomal RNA
Rfam family: Bacterial small subunit ribosomal RNA
Source: RNAcentral